GUGGGAUAGCCCAGAGAAAUUUGGAUUAAGACCACAUGGUACCAUUUUACGGCAUCGUAUUAAUGGUUAAAGGUUACGGUAGGGGAUGAGUAUGCGUCCCAUUAGUUAGUUGGCGAGGUAACGGCUCACCAAGACCGCGAUGGGUAGGGGCCCUGAGAGGGGGAUCCCCCACACUGGUACUGAGACACGGACCAGACUCCUACGGGAGGCAGCAGUGAGGAAUAUUGGACAAUGGGCGGGAGCCUGAUCCAGCCAUGCCGCGUGCAGGAAGAAUGCCCUAUGGGUAGUAAACUGCUUUUAUACGGGAAGAAAAAGAGCUACGUGUAGCUUACUGACGGUACCGUAAGAAUAAGGACCGGCUAACUCCGUGCCAGCAGCCGCGGUAAUACGGAGGGUCCGAGCGUUAUCCGGAAUUAUUGGGUUUAAAGGGUCCGUAGGCGGGCCGAUAAGUCAGUGGUGAAAGUUUGCAGCUCAACUGUAAAAUUGCCUUUGAUACUGUCGGUCUUGAGUUAUAGUGAAGUUGCCGGAAUAUGUAGUGUAGCGGUGAAAUGCAUAGAUAUUACAUAGAACACCGAUUGCGAAGGCAGGUGACUAACUAUAUACUGACGCUGAUGGACGAAAGCGUGGGGAGCGAACAGGAUUAGAUACCCUGGUAGUCCACGCCGUAAACGAUGGAUACUAGCUGUCCGGGUCCUUGAGAC
RNAcentral lists this ribosomal RNA (701 nucleotides) under Zobellia sp. TBL_103. RNAcentral describes it as "bacterial SSU rRNA". It matches the Rfam family "Bacterial small subunit ribosomal RNA", at positions 138 to 838 of the family's 1533-position model. Lineage: Bacteria; Pseudomonadati; Bacteroidota; Flavobacteriia; Flavobacteriales; Flavobacteriaceae. The record is from RNAcentral.